CGCAGAGAAGAGUGGCCUGAACAAAAAGCCAGACCGAGACUUUAGAACCUCCUGCCGUGUAACAAGGACAUCUUUGAACAAAGAGACGCCGAGUGGCUCGUGUCGUCCGGUUUGGAUAUCAACGGCAAAGCGAACGUUGUGUGUACUAUUGCAAGAUCUAUAGCGGAUCUCCACGGUUAGGAUACAGACCACAACGCUUUGGACGUGUUUAUAAAAAAGAGAAAAAUCUGAGACUUUUUGGAUUUGUCUAUGGACAUUUUAAACAUUUUGUAGCAAAUUGGAUUUUACACAUUUCGGAUACUGGAUACCUAUGCUUGAAUUGUCACAGAGCUUGUCACAUUUUAAAAGCACUUGGGUAAGUGUCUAAUUAUAAAUUGUUUUGAUGUUGUUUUAAACUUGCGUUCUUAAUACAUUUUGUUUUAUUUUUCAUC
Non-coding RNA from Paramisgurnus dabryanus, 431 nucleotides. Lineage: Eukaryota; Metazoa; Chordata; Actinopteri; Cypriniformes; Cobitidae. The record is from RefSeq and is a predicted model, not a curated record.